AGAGUUUGAUCCUGGCUCAGAACGAACGCUGGCGGCAGGCCUAACACAUGCAAGUCGAGCGCCCCGCAAGGGGAGCGGCGGACGGGUGAGUAACACGUGGGAAUUUUCCUCAAGGUACGGAACACCUCAGGGAAACUUGGGCUAAUACCGUAUGAUGCAGAGAUGCCAAAGAUUUAUCGCCUUGGGAUAAGCCCGCGUCAGAUUAUGUAGUUGGUGGGGUAAUGGCCUACCAAGCCUGUGAUCUGUAGCUGGUCUGAGAGGACGAUCAGCCACAUUGGGACUGAGACACGGACCAAACUCCUACGGGAGGCAGCAGUAAGGAGAUUCUUGCGCAAUGAGCGAAAGCCUGACGGAGCAACGCCGCGUGGGGGAUGACACCUUUCGGGCGUAAACCCCUUUUCUUGGGGANGAAGCAGUGACGGUACCCGAGGAAGAANNCCCGGCUAANUACGUGCCAGCAGCCGCGGUAAUACGUAGGGGCCGAGCGUUGUCCGGAGUUACUGGGCGUAAAGCGCGCGCAGGCGGCUCGUCAANNNGACGUGAAAGCCCCCGGCUCAACCGGGGAGGGUCGUCGGGGACUGGCGGGCUUGAGGUCGGCAGGGGUUGGUGGAAUUCCCGGUGUAGUGGUGAAAUGCGUAGAGAUCGGGAGGAACACCCGUGGCGAAGGCGGCCAACUGGGCCGGACCUGACGCUGAGGCGCGAAGGCGUGGGGAGCGAACGGGAUUAGAUACCCCGGUAGUCCACGCAGUAAACGAUGCAGACUAGGCGUGGGGGGACUUGACCCCCUCCGUGCCGAAGCCAACGCGUGAAGUCUGCCGCCUGGGGAGUACGGCCGCAAGGCUAAAACUCAAAGGAAUUGACGGGGGCCCGCACAAGCGGCGGAGCGUGCGGUUUAAUUCGACGCAACGCGCAGAACCUUACCAGGGUUUGACAUGCACCUGCAGAGCCGUGAAAGCGGUUGGCCUUCGAGGGUGGUGCACAGGUGCUGCAUGGCUGUCGUCAGCUCGUGUCGUGAGAUGUUGGGUUAAGUCCCGCAACGAGCGCAACCCUCGUGGCUAGUUGCCGAUGUUUCUAGCCAGACUGCCGGUAGCAAGCCGGAGGAAGGUGGGGAUGAUGUCAAGUCAGCAUGGCCCUUACAUCCUGGGCUACACGCACGCUACAAUGGCCGGGACAAUGGGCUGCCAAACCGCAAGGUGGAGCGAAUCCCACAAACCCGGUCUCAGUUCAGAUCGCGGGCUGCAACUCGCCCGCGUGAAGGUGGAGUCGCUAGUAACCGCGGGUCAGAACUACCGCGGUGAAUACGUUCCCGGGCCUUGCACACACCGCCCGU
RNAcentral lists this ribosomal RNA (1330 nucleotides) under uncultured bacterium. RNAcentral describes it as "bacterial SSU rRNA". It matches the Rfam family "Bacterial small subunit ribosomal RNA". The record is from RNAcentral.